AGAGGCCAGUGAUGGUGGAGAAAUAUUGCCUACAUCGUUUGAUAUUAUCGAACAUGAUAAUGAUAUGCUUUCUCUUUGAAUCUGAGGCCUCU
Small nucleolar RNA from Magnolia sinica, 92 nucleotides. RefSeq annotates it as small nucleolar RNA SNORD34. The record is from RefSeq and is a predicted model, not a curated record. Lineage: Eukaryota; Viridiplantae; Streptophyta; Magnoliopsida; Magnoliales; Magnoliaceae. The transcript has a single exon.